Molecule: ribosomal RNA, 976 nt
Filed under: Bacillus sp. (in: firmicutes)
Lineage: Bacteria; Bacillati; Bacillota; Bacilli; Caryophanales; Bacillaceae
Description: bacterial SSU rRNA
Rfam family: Bacterial small subunit ribosomal RNA
Source: RNAcentral
GAAGUCUGACGGAGCACGCCGCGUGAGUGAUGAAGGUUUUCGGAUCGUAAAACUCUGUUGUUAGGGAAGAACAAGUGUCGUUCGAAUAGGGCGGUACCUUGACGGUACCUAACCAGAAAGCCACGGCUAACUACGUGCCAGCAGCCGCGGUAAUACGUAGGUGGCAAGCGUUGUCCGGAAUUAUUGGGCGUAAAGCGCGCGCAGGCGGUUUCUUAAGUCUGAUGUGAAAUCUUGCGGCUCAACCGCGAGCGGCCAUUGGAAACUGGGAGACUUGAGUGCAGAAGAGGAGAGUGGAAUUCCACGUGUAGCGGUGAAAUGCGUAGAGAUGUGGAGGAACACCAGUGGCGAAGGCGACUCUCUGGUCUGUAACUGACGCUGAGGCGCGAAAGCGUGGGGAGCGAACAGGAUUAGAUACCCUGGUAGUCCACGCCGUAAACGAUGAGUGCUAAGUGUUAGAGGGUUUCCGCCCUUUAGUGCUGCAGCUAACGCAUUAAGCACUCCGCCUGGGGAGUACGGCCGCAAGGCUGAAACUCAAAGGAAUUGACGGGGGCCCGCACAAGCGGUGGAGCAUGUGGUUUAAUUCGAAGCAACGCGAAGAACCUUACCAGGUCUUGACAUCCUCUUGACCUCCCUAGAGAUAGGGAUUUCCCUUCGGGGACAAGAGUGACAGGUGGUGCAUGGUUGUCGUCAGCUCGUGUCGUGAGAUGUUGGGUUAAGUCCCGCAACGAGCGCAACCCUUGACCUUAGUUGCCAGCAUUCAGUUGGGCACUCUAAUGUGACUGCCGGUGACAAACCAGAAGAAGGUGGAGAUGACGUCAAAUCAUCAUGCCCCUUAUGACCUGGGCUACACACGUGCUACAAUGGAUGGUACAAAGGGCUGCAAGACCGCGAGGUUUAGCCUAUCCCAUAAAACCAUUCUCAGUUCAGAUUGUACGCUGCAACUCGCCUACGUGAAGCCGGAAUCGCUAGUAAUCGC